GUUGAAACACUGGUUCUCGUAUGAUCACUGAAGUUAAGCAAUGUUGAGCCUGGUCAGUACCUAGAUGGUUGACUGCUUGGGAAUACCAAGUGCUAUA
This 97-nucleotide ribosomal RNA is filed under the name Acanthosepion pharaonis. Lineage: Eukaryota; Metazoa; Mollusca; Cephalopoda; Sepiida; Sepiidae. The record is from RNAcentral.